AUAGCUUCAUUGACUGCUCUCAGACCAUCUGUCCUCUCUGUCCAAAACACUGGUGGAAUCAAAGGAAUGUUCAAGGUCUGUGUUCUCCUGUAGUUUAUUCUCUCCUAUAUAAAGGUCUGUGUUCUCCUGUAGUUUAUUCUCUCCUAUAUAAAGGUCUGUGUUCUCCUGUAGUUUAUUCUCUCCUAUGUAAAGGUCUGUGUUCUCCUGUAGUUAAUUCUCGCCUAUAUAAAGGUCUGUGUUCUCCUGUAGUUUAUUCUCGCCUAUAUAAAGGUCUGUGUUCUCCUGUAGUUUAUUCUCUCCUAUAUAAAGGUCUGUGUUCUCCUGUAGUUUAUUCUCUCCUAUAUAAAGGUCUGUGUUCUCCUGUAGUUUAUUCUCUCCUAUAUAAAGGUCUGUGUUCUCCUGUAGUUUAUUCUCUCCUAUAUAAAGGUCUGUGUUCUCCUGUAGUUUAUUCUCUCCUAUAUAAAGGUCUGUGUUCUCCUGUAGUUUAUUCUCCUAUGUAAAGGUCUGUGUUCUCCUGUAGUUUAUUCUCUCCUAUAUAAAGGUGUGUGUUCUCCUGUAGUUUAUUCUCCUAUAUAAACGUCUGUGUUCUCCUGUAGUUUAUUCUCCUAUAUAAAGGUCUGUGUUCUCCUGUAGUUUAUUCUCCUAUAUAAACGUCUGUGUUCUCCUGUAGUUUAUUCUCCUAUAUAAAGGUCUGUGUUCUCCUGUAGUUUAUUCUCCUAUAUACAUGUCUGUGUUCUCCUGUAGUUUAUUCUCUUCUAUAUAAAGGUCUGUGUUCUCCUGUAGUUUAUUCUCUCCUGUAUAAAGGUCUGUGUUUUUCUGUAGUUUAU
This is a long non-coding RNA of Acanthochromis polyacanthus (spiny chromis), 827 nucleotides long. RefSeq lists it as uncharacterized. The record is from RefSeq and is a predicted model, not a curated record. The transcript has 5 exons. Lineage: Eukaryota; Metazoa; Chordata; Actinopteri; Pomacentridae.